AUUGAACGCUGGCGGCAGGCCUAACACAUGCAAGUCGAGCGGCAGCGGGAAAGUAGCUUGCUACUUUUGCCGGCGAGCGGCGGACGGGUGAGUAAUGCCUGGGAAAUUGCCCAGUCGAGGGGGAUAACAGUUGGAAACGACUGCUAAUACCGCAUACGCCCUACGGGGGAAAGCAGGGGACCUUCGGGCCUUGCGCGAUUGGAUAUGCCCAGGUGGGAUUAGCUUGUUGGUGAGGUAAUGGCUCACCAAGGCGACGAUCCCUAGCUGGUCUGAGAGGAUGAUCAGCCACACUGGAACUGAGACACGGUCCAGACUCCUACGGGAGGCAGCAGUGGGGGAAUAUUGGGGCAAUGGUCGCAAGACUGAUCCAGCCAUGCCGCGUGCGGGAAGAAGGCCUUCGGGUUGUAAACCGCUUUG
RNAcentral lists this ribosomal RNA (417 nucleotides) under uncultured bacterium. RNAcentral's name for it is "bacterial SSU rRNA". It matches the Rfam family "Bacterial small subunit ribosomal RNA", at positions 30 to 437 of the family's 1533-position model. The record is from RNAcentral.